CCUACGGGUGGCAGCAGUAGGGAAUUUUCGGCAAUGGGGGGAACCCUGACCGAGCAACGCCGCGUGAACGAAGAAGUUAUUCGUAUUGUAAAGUUCUGUUAACAGGGAAGAAAGAGAAAUGUGACGGUACCUGAAGAAUAAGCUCCGGCUAACUACGUACCAGCGGCGGCGGUAAUACGUAGGGAGCGAGCUUUAUCCGGAAUUAUUGGGCGUAAAGGGUUCGUAGAUGGCAUAGGAAGUCUUUUGUAAAAAUGCUGGGCUCAACCCAGUAGGGCCACAGAUACUGGAAAGUUAGAGUAUGAGAGAGGCAAGUGGAACUACAGGGGUAGCGGUAAAAUGCGUAAAGAUAUGUAGGAACACCAGUGGCGAAGGAGGCUUGCUGGGUCGAUACUGACAUUGAGGCACGAAAGCGUGGGGAGCAAACAGGAUUAGAUACCCUGGUAGUC
This 446-nucleotide ribosomal RNA is filed under the name uncultured bacterium. Its description in RNAcentral is "partial 16S ribosomal RNA". It matches the Rfam family "Bacterial small subunit ribosomal RNA", at positions 338 to 795 of the family's 1533-position model. The record is from RNAcentral.